ACGGUAACAGGAAGAAGCUUGCUUCUUUGCUGACGAGUGGCGGACGGGUGAGUAAUGUCUGGGAAACUGCCUGAUGGAGGGGGAUAACUACUGGAAACGGUAGCUAAUACCGCAUAACGUCGCAAGACCAAAGAGGGGGACCUUCGGGCCUCUUGCCAUCGGAUGUGCCCAGAUGGGAUUAGCUUGUUGGUGGGGUAACGGCUCACCAAGGCGACGAUCCCUAGCUGGUCUGAGAGGAUGACCAGCCACACUGGAACUGAGACACGGUCCAGACUCCUACGGGAGGCAGCAGUGGGGAAUAUUGCACAAUGGGCGCAAGCCUGAUGCAGCCAUGCCGCGUGUAUGAAGAAGGCCUUCGGGUUGUAAAGUACUUUCAGCGGGGAGGAAGGGAGUAAAGUUAAUACCUUUGCUCAUUGACGUUACCCGCAGAAGAAGCACCGGCUAACUCCGUGCCAGCAGCCGCGGUAAUACGGAGGGUGCAAGCGUUAAUCGGAAUUACUGGGCGUAAAGCGCACGCAGGCGGUUUGUUAAGUCAGAUGUGAAAUCCCCGGGCUCAACCUGGGAACUGCAUCUGAUACUGGCAAGCUUGAGUCUCGUAGAGGGGGGUAGA
Molecule: ribosomal RNA, 610 nt
Filed under: uncultured bacterium
Lineage: Bacteria
Description: bacterial SSU rRNA
Rfam family: Bacterial small subunit ribosomal RNA
Source: RNAcentral